Long non-coding RNA from Musca domestica (house fly), 745 nucleotides. RefSeq lists it as uncharacterized. Lineage: Eukaryota; Metazoa; Arthropoda; Insecta; Diptera; Muscidae. The transcript is spliced from 2 exons. The record is from RefSeq and is a predicted model, not a curated record.
UAUAUUUGUUCCUUGCCAAAAAUUAGCUGGAAUUGUGUUAAGUGUUAUUUUGUAACGCACUUACAAGUGCCUGACCGACAUCAAAUUGAUCAAAGGCACCAUGAAUUUCUUUCAUGUCAAAUAUUAACUGGAAUUCGACAGAGUUGGCAUGUUUUUCUUAUUUUCCCGAAAUUACUAACCCUCGUGAAAAAAUAAAUACAUCUUCUUAACACAGUUGGUAUCCAUCCAAUUUUUUUCAAACCUAUAAAGGCUUUUUGAGUGAUUUGACAUUAAUGUCGUCGUGCCUUUUUAAGGUCUUUCAUGUGGAAAUUUCAUAGAAGAAUUUAUUAAAGAAGCCUUCAAAAUAAAUAGACAAAAAAUAAAAAGUCAUUAAAAAUCCAACAAACAGAGUGGAAACCACGAAAAUGGGUGAUGAAAAGUAUAUGAGUCACUAAAAACGAUAAGAAAUUCAAAUCUCGCGCCACAACACCAACAAAUUGCUAUAUUUCCGUUGACGCGUACAAGAAGGAAGAGAGCAGACAUUGCAAACUCCAAGCAGAUGGUUAUAAGUGGAUGAUAACCGUAAAUAAAUCUUUGUGGUUAACAAAAAAAAUGUCCGCAAAUAAAACUGUUUAUUUGUAAUUUCCCUAAUGUCUGUCGUUGACGUAUUAAUCAAUCAAAUUUAUGGCUUGUAUUGUGGAAGGAUGAACGGACAUAUUUGCAUUUUAUAUUUGGCAGAUGAUAAAUAAAAUUAAAAAGUCUUUGA